CUACCGACACCGGGAGGUGUUGGGAUGCGUAUGCAGAAGUCAGCAGACGGCGUAAUAGGUUGGGGGCAAGGCGGUGAGCCGAAGAAACCCCCGACUGAAGGCC
This 103-nucleotide non-coding RNA is filed under the name Paraburkholderia tuberum. Lineage: Bacteria; Pseudomonadati; Pseudomonadota; Betaproteobacteria; Burkholderiales; Burkholderiaceae. The record is from RNAcentral.